CGGGCGAACAGCGAAGAAUGGACAGAGCGGCUAACGACACUCCGCUGUUAGCGUGAAACAUCAGCAACAACAAGUACCGCCGUCAACCUUAUAUUAAACCCCAGCCACUCGCGUUCAUCUGGCGUGACAAAUACACAAGCUGCGUCCCGAUCGGCUGGAUUUACCACAGCGAAGGUCUUCCACCUUCUCCUUCCUGUGACAAAUGUUGAGAACAGAGAUCAGCCCGUCCAGCAGCUGCUAGAGGCGACAGAGCGAGGACGGGGAGGAGUGUCGGUUAGCUGAACCAGGUUUUGUCUCAUGAGAGUGACUGUGCCAUCCAGGCACCGCCAGUGACCAGGGCUGUGGCUGCGGAGGGCCCAGCCCAGGAGGCCUUUUUGUACAUCACUCCUGGCUCCCGCUGACCUGUGCUGCUCACACCAUGGAUCAACAGAGAGAUAAAUAUGGAGAGCGGCCCACAAGGGCAGCUAAAGUUUCCCAGGGAAGCCGCAGCGGACACUCGUCCCGACCAUCUGGCUCCUCCAGCUCCUCUGGGGUUCUCAUGGUGGGGCCAAAUUUUCGCGUGGGCAAGAAGAUCGGCUGUGGGAACUUUGGUGAAUUGAAGCUCGGUAAAAAUCUAUACACCAACGAGUAUGUAGCUAUUAAACUGGAACCCGUGAAGUCGAGGGCGCCACAGCUGCAUUUAGAGUACCGGUUCUACAAAACGCUGGGGACUACAGCUGAGGGCGUGCCCCAGGUGUUUUACUUCGGGCCCUGUGGGAAAUACAAUGCUAUGGUCCUGGAGCUGCUGGGCCCGAGUCUAGAGGACCUCUUUGACCUUUGUGACAGGACCUUUUCACUGAAGACUGUCUUAAUGAUAGCAAUUCAGCUGAUUUCUCGAAUGGAGUAUGUGCACUCUAAAAACCUCAUCUAUCGAGAUGUAAAACCUGAAAACUUUCUCAUCGGACGGCAAGGGAAUAAAAAGGAACACAUUAUCCACAUCAUUGACUUUGGCUUGGCCAAAGAAUACAUCGACCCCGAGACCAAAAAACACAUUCCAUACCGGGAGCAUAAGAGCUUGACUGGCACUGCUCGAUACAUGUCCAUCAAUACACAUUUAGGCAAAGAACAAAGCCGGCGAGAUGACCUGGAGGCCUUAGGCCACAUGUUCAUGUAUUUCCUUCGUGGGAGUUUACCGUGGCAAGGACUAAAGGCCGACACGUUGAAAGAACGAUACCAGAAGAUCGGAGACACGAAACGAAACACUCCCAUCGAGGUCCUCUGUGAGAACUUCCCAGAGGAGAUGGCCACAUACCUGCGAUAUGUGAGACGGUUGGACUUCUUUGAAAAGCCCGACUAUGAAUAUCUGAGGACUCUGUUCACUGAACUGUUUGAGCGGAAAGGAUACACCUUUGACUACACUUACGACUGGGUUGGCAGGCAGAUUCCCACACCAGUGGGGUCUGUCCAUAUAGACUCUGGAGCGUCUGCAGUCACGAGAGAGAGCCAUCCUCACAGAGACCGACCCUCGCAGCAUCCACCAAUUAGAAAUCAGGUUUGGGUGAAUGCAACCACUCAGGUUCUGCCAAUUAAGGUUUUUAAUAACCUUUUUUUCAGUGAGUUCACUGCUGAAUGUACAUUUGAUCACUGUUGUUAAUUGCUGUUAAGAUAAGUUGGCAAACAAGUGGCUUGUUUCAUAGAAGAAAUAGGUUUUAAACAUGUUAAAGACCUGUUCAGUGCAUUAGGAUUAAUUUGUGUUAUUGAAGUUUAAUGAGAGUGAGGCCAAAGUUUGAGAUGUGACAGCUUACCUCCAUUUGGCUUCAGGCUCAUUAGUUUCUGGUUCAGUUCUCUGGCUGAAGUCUUGCUUUGAUUUUGAUUCACUUUUUUAUUUAUUUAUUUUUCUUCUCCAUCUUUCAUGCUGCUUUGCAUGGUACCUGGCCUCGCACACCCAAUUACCCAUCUUUCCUAACACAAUUAUUCCAUCACUGCCCCUCCCAUCGCACCCCCAAUCCCUCUUCCACUCCCAUCACCGACGCCCCCGACUCCUGAGCAGACAGCGGUCUCAGAUCGACGAGGAGCAUGGGAGGUGCAGCCCACACGCCAAGCAAACUCCUCCUAUCUGACCUCCCACCUGGCAGCGGACAGGCACGGGGGCUCAGUGCAGGUGGUCAGCUCGACCAACGGGGAGCUGAACGCAGACG
Chelmon rostratus (copperband butterflyfish) is the source of this 2177-nucleotide RNA transcript. It is a transcript of the gene named casein kinase 1, gamma 1, with no coding region annotated. The transcript has 12 exons. Lineage: Eukaryota; Metazoa; Chordata; Actinopteri; Chaetodontiformes; Chaetodontidae. The record is from RefSeq and is a predicted model, not a curated record.